RNAcentral lists this ribosomal RNA (465 nucleotides) under Vreelandella stevensii. RNAcentral's name for it is "partial 16S ribosomal RNA". It matches the Rfam family "Bacterial small subunit ribosomal RNA", at positions 338 to 795 of the family's 1533-position model. The record is from RNAcentral. Lineage: Bacteria; Pseudomonadati; Pseudomonadota; Gammaproteobacteria; Oceanospirillales; Halomonadaceae.
CCUACGGGUGGCUGCAGUGGGGAAUAUUGGACAAUGGGCGAAAGCCUGAUCCAGCCAUGCCGCGUGUGUGAAGAAGGCCUUCGGGUUGUAAAGCACUUUCAGUGGGGAAGAAAGCCUUGGGGCUAAUACCCUCGAGGAAGGACAUCACCCACAGAAGAAGCACCGGCUAACUCCGUGCCAGCAGCCGCGGUAAUACGGAGGGGGCGAGCGUUAAUCGGAAUUACUGGGCGUAAAGCGCGCGUAGGCGGUCUGAUAAGCCGGUUGUGAAAGCCCCGGGCUCAACCUGGGAACGGCAUCCGGAACUGUCAGGCUAGAGUGCAGGAGAGGAAGGUAGAAUUCCCGGUGUAGCGGUGAAAUGCGUAGAGAUCGGGAGGAAUACCAGUGGCGAAGGCGGCCUUCUGGACUGACACUGACGCUGAGGUGCGAAAGCGUGGGUAGCAAACAGGAUUAGAUACCCCAGUAGUC